UACCAGCUCUCCGAGUUGUAGGGAUGAUUAUUGGGCUUAAAGCGUCCGUAGCUGGCUUAGCAAGUCUCCUGUUAAAUUCAGCGACCUAAUCGUUGGGCCGCGGGAGAUACUACUAGGCUAGGAGGCGGGAGAGGUCGACGGUACUUUCGGGGUAGGGGUGAAAUCCUAUAAUCCCGGGAGGACCACCAGUGGCGAAGGCUGUCGACUAGAACGCGCUCGACGGUGAGGGACGAAAGCUGGGGGAGCGAACCGGAUUAGAUACCCGGGUAGUCCCAGCUGUAAACUAUGCGGGCUAGGUGUUGGGGUGGCUACGGGCCACUUCAGUGCCGCAGGAAAGCCAUUAAGCCCGCCGCCUGGGGAGUACGGCCGCAAGGCUGAAACUUAAGGAAUUGGCGGGGAGCACCACAAGGCGUUAAGCUUGCGGUUC
RNAcentral lists this ribosomal RNA (427 nucleotides) under uncultured archaeon. RNAcentral's name for it is "bacterial SSU rRNA". It matches the Rfam family "Archaeal small subunit ribosomal RNA", at positions 474 to 903 of the family's 1478-position model. The record is from RNAcentral.